GUGUAGUUAAGCGAUUUUUCCCUACCAGAUUCGGAGGUGCAACCCAGAAAAAUAUAGGGUUGUAGCACAGCCGCCGCAUCCUAGUACAAAGGCGAGAGGGAUUUAUAACGCUAGGUGAACGCAGCUCCGCCAAAUUACUUAAGAGACGGGCGAAGCCGAUUCCCAGCAUAACCAUCAGGCUAAGUUGAAUGACGCUGGAAUAGCAUGCCCACAGAAUAUAAUGGCGCAACUGGCGUUCAAAGAUUCGAUGAUUCACGAAUUUGCAAUUCACAUUACUUAUCGCAUUUAGUGCGUCUCAUCGAGCCAGAACCCAGAGAUCCGUUGUGAAAGUUUAAACUAUUUCAGUAUAAAUUUCGAGAUACAGUAGUAUAGCAGAGUUUAGUGUCCACCGGCCCUGUUUUUGCAGCACAGCGCCGAGGCAAACAGUGGUAAGUUCACAUAGGGUGGAGUUUAGAACUCAGUAAUGAUCCCUUUCCGUAGGUGAACCUGCGGAGGGAUCAUUACUGAGUUCUAAACUCCAACCCUAUGUGAACUUACCACUGUUGCCUCGGCGCUGUGCCUGCGAGAGCAGGCCCGCCGGUGGACCACUAAACUCUGCUAUACCUACUGUAUCUCUGAAUUUAUAACUGAAAUACGUUAAAACUUUCAACAACGGAUCUCUUGGUUCUGGCAUCGAUGAAGAACGCAGCGAAAUGCGAUAAGUAAUGUGAAUUGCAGAAUUCAGUGAAUCAUCGAAUCUUUGAACGCACAUUGCGCCCAUUAGUAUUCUAGUGGGCAUGCCUAUUCGAGCGUCAUUUCAACCCUUAAGCCCCUGUUGCUUAGUGUUGGGAAUCUGCGUUACGGCGCAGUUCCUUAAAGUGAUUUGGCGGAGCUAGUGCAUACUCUAGGCGUAGUAAAUACCAUUCUCGCUUUUGUAGUAGGCCUGGCGGCUUGCCGUAAAACCCCUAUAUUUCUAGUGGUGACCUCGGAUUAGGUAGAUACCCAUAUCC
RNAcentral lists this ribosomal RNA (989 nucleotides) under Nodulisporium sp. NTLF04. RNAcentral's name for it is "eukaryotic LSU rRNA". The stretch from base 641 to 794 matches the Rfam family "5.8S ribosomal RNA". The record is from RNAcentral. Lineage: Eukaryota; Fungi; Ascomycota; Sordariomycetes; Xylariales; Xylariaceae.